CUGCUGCCAGCGCUCAGUUGGCGCUCGCUCUGCGCUCUGCCCGUCAGCACUCAGCUGUUGCUGCUGCUGCCUGGGCUUUUCCUGCUGCCUGCUCUGGAGCACCAAUCUCAGCAGGAUGAGCACUGCUGCUCCAGUGGAGACUAACAGAGACACUGUGGAGGAGAUGCAAGUGGACCUGGUGCUGAAUGAGGAAGAAAUGAUGGAGGUGGACGUGGAAGAGCAGGUUGAGGACAUGGAAGUAGAUGUGGAGGAUGACAUCGAGGAGAUGGAAGUGACACUAGGAGGAAUUUCCCCAGGGAAAGGCUGCUCAGGCCUUGGCAGGGGCUGCCCAGGGAGCUUUGCAGUGCCCAUCCCUGCAGCUGUCCCAGGAAGGCCUGCAGGUGGCACUCAGGGCUCUGGGCUGGGGACAAGCUGGGCAUCGAGCACUGCUGGGACUCCAUGGUCUCACAGACCUUUCCCAACCUUAGUGAUUCCAUGAGUCUAUGAUUCUAUGAAGACAUGAUUCAGAACAGAGUUAACUCAAAUCUAUCAUACACAAAUAUUACAGAGGUCAAAAUUCACGUGAAUGAAAUUUAAGAUUAUUC
Long non-coding RNA from Passer domesticus (house sparrow), 584 nucleotides. RefSeq lists it as uncharacterized. The transcript is spliced from 2 exons. NCBI's taxonomy places the organism in Eukaryota, Metazoa, Chordata, Aves, Passeriformes, Passeridae. The record is from RefSeq and is a predicted model, not a curated record.